GUUAUACUCAGGGGGAGGGUAGUGGAGGCGGCACCAGCUCCGCCUACCGGACAGGAGGAGGUAUCCACUCGUCCAGCGUCAGCCAUUACCACCACUGUGAGGAACUCACCUUGUGUGGUGUGUCUACUUAUGGCCAUGAUGCACCUCCACUGUGAAUCUGUGGAUACCCUCUAUAUCACCACCCAGGAUAGGAGAAAAUAAUUGUAAGUUUGAGAAGUUUCGCGGGCACUAUGUGGAGCGACCUUAGAAUACCAGGUUUGGAACCAGUACUGGUAUGAUUACUUGGGAAGAAUCCUAUCUACUCAGCAAGAGUAGUGUGUGAACAAAGUACCUGGUAUGUGUACCUAAGAAUACCAAGGAGUUCCAUACUUGUAGUUGUGGAGUGUAUACGAGAUGUGGUGCUAUAACAGGUGGUGUAGUCUGAUGUGUUGGGUGUUAUAGUAAGAAAGAAUGACCGAGAUAAGUAGGUCAUUGGUUGUUAUGAAGAAUGAAGAUGAUAAUAGUAGUUGUUUGAUGAAGAACGUAUAUUGAUGUGAAGUGUAAUGAACAUAACAGUGGUUCUUCUAAUAAAGGCCAGAUCUUUUUGUAUUGUGCUUGAAUGCACUAUGUUUUUAUAAGGAAUAAAUUAGUUAAGUCAUGAUUGAUGUUUCACCGUUCUUCCCAAUGAAAAACCCAACCCAAUGCCUAACUUACUCUGCCCGCUACCUAACGAGCUACAUACUGUCCAGGGGGGCCUGGUAGCAGUGACCUUAAAAUUAAGAGUAGAGUUAAGUUGUCCCCUUAGAAUUAGUGACCCCAGAAUUGGGCAGUAUACCAGCCACCAAUGACGCUAUCCUUUUACUGUACCAAUUAAUCUCUUAGAACUGCCACAUAUCCAACAUUACAAAAAUAACCAGUACAUACAAACUAGACCCACACACCACUAAAAUUUCCUUUGACAGAACCAGUCACUGCCAGAGAGGGUUCUGUCAUGUUAACAAGAUAAAUUAUCAAGAUGAAAAAUACAUUGGGCUGCAAAGUAACUUCUCAUCCGGUAAAAUUAAGUUCGAGUCAUUGCUUUGUGGGUUACUUAAAUUUUAGGAACACUGUUGAAACCCUGAGAUUGUCCUAACUGUUUCCCUUGUGAAUAAGAAAAAAAUCAUGCUGCAAUCCUUCAUUUAUUUCCUAUGGGUCAUUCAAGUAUCCUAUGUGGCCAAAUCAGCUCAAAGUAGAAUUGAGGGGUAAUUUAUCAGGUAAACGUAAUAAUACCACCCCUUUUAGAAAGCAUGUAGAGCAGAGUACGGUAUGUCAAGAAUAAUAAUCGAGGACUAUCCUUAAUACAUUUUAGUUCCUCAAUUUGGACUCUAAUUUUCAUUCAGAUAACUUUCAAUUAAAAUUUAAACUGAGGACCAAUGGGCUAAGCUCCAGAAUGUAUUUUAAAGAUAUUCACCUUAAACUCUCAUACAGGGAGGGUCACUCUGUUGAAAAAAAUUGUCUGACUUUAUCCAAAUAAAAUAUUAAAAGGUGUCCUGUAGUGAAGGGGUUAGAGAGGUCAUUGAGGAAAAUAUCUUCAAUACAGUAUCAUUUGCUUCAGCAGUACACCUAGGUUGAGUGGUCCCAAAUUUUUAUUACCAAAACUGAUAUUUUUUUCUGAGAGUUGCCUCAGGGAAAUGAAUGAAAAUUAAUAAUUUCCCUUUAAGAUACUUAAUGAAAUACUGGAAAGAUUAAUGGCUAACACAAGCAGAAACUUGGUGACAUCAGUGUCCGAAUAUUCUGGUUUUCAUUCUUUAAGAAUUCAGGACUACGUAAGUUUUAAACAAGCCUAGGUUAUGGAGUAAACAAAGAAUAUGAAACUAAACCCCCUUUUUAGAUUAUGAUCACAACUUGGACUCAUAUGUCCACCAUUUGUCUCAGUUAAGUUUAAGAUAUUUGGGGAAAAUAAAUGGUUAAUAAAUGAAAGCAAUUAAAAAAAGUGUCUAAAUACUGUGGUUUAUUUGCCUAUUUCAGUCUAUAUAAAGUAUCUAAAUAAAAAAAUAAGGACUUCAAAAGAAGAGAGACAAGUAUAAAUUAAUGUUUACAGUUGACUUUGGCAUACAGCAUCAUGUUACUGUUCAGUGAUUUACACAGGGAUUGUUUUGUAACACAUUUAUAAUGUGAUAACAAAGAUACAAAAAGUGGUUACAAAAUAACUGAAUUAAUGAGUAAGUGCAAAACAAUAUAAGCUAAAUGUUUGUUCAGAAAAAUCAGUGCACUUGUAAUGGUGACAUCACACAAAGUAUCUGGGUUAAACUCUGUGAGCAUCAUGAUAAUUCUCGCUCUCACAAUAAUGUAAAUAUUUUUGUAAUCCCUUCACAUGAUGGCAACUCCAGGAUGCAAAAAGAGGACAGUACACCAUUUCUUUCUCUCAAUCUUGUUUUUUUUUAUUCUAGAAUUUUUUGUUUUGCAUACAUAUACUGUACAGUAGCUACCUACUGCAUUAUUACUCAAAUUGAUUUACAGGUAAAAUAUUUAAAGUUGUGAAAUUAGGUAGUUUUUGGAAAGCUCCUUUCUGUACUACAGUAUCUUAUUUAUCUUUACCUUUGUAAAUUCAUAUCAUCAGGAAAUAAAUAUUCCCAUAACUUUCUGAAGUUUAUGGGACUUUCUGUAAAUUAUACUAAGCUGGGAGUAGCUAAUUACCGGUAGUCUUACUAGAAAGAAAGAUAUACUGUAGUUAAAUCUUUGAAUGCAUCUACUACAUUAAAAUUAUCACAAAUCCUU
RNAcentral lists this long non-coding RNA (2736 nucleotides) under Homarus americanus (American lobster). RNAcentral describes it as "uncharacterized LOC121877407". Lineage: Eukaryota; Metazoa; Arthropoda; Malacostraca; Decapoda; Nephropidae. The record is from RNAcentral.